RNAcentral lists this ribosomal RNA (396 nucleotides) under uncultured bacterium. Its description in RNAcentral is "partial 16S ribosomal RNA". It matches the Rfam family "Bacterial small subunit ribosomal RNA", at positions 523 to 917 of the family's 1533-position model. The record is from RNAcentral.
AUACGUAGGUGGCAAGCGUUGUCCGGAAUUAUUGGGCGUAAAGCGCGCGCAGGUGGUUCCUUAAGCCUGAUGUGAAAGCCCCCGGCUCAACCGGGGAGGGUCAUUGGAAACUGGGGAACUUGAGUGCAGCAGAGGAUAGUGGAAUUCCAAGUGUAGCGGUGAAAUGCGUAGAGAUUUGGAGGAACACCAGUGGCGAAGGCGACUGUCUGGUCUGUAACUGACACUGAGGCGCGAAAGCGUGGGGAGCAAACAGGAUUAGAUACCCUGGUAGUCCACGCCGUAAACGAUGAGUGCUAAGUGUUGGGGGGUUUCCGCCCCUCAGUGCUGCAGCUAACGCAUUAAGCACUCCGCCUGGGGAGUACGGUCGCAAGACUGAAACUCAAAGGAAUUGACGGG